Molecule: ribosomal RNA, 253 nt
Filed under: uncultured bacterium
Lineage: Bacteria
Description: partial 16S ribosomal RNA
Rfam family: Bacterial small subunit ribosomal RNA
Source: RNAcentral
UACGUAGGUGGCGAGCGUUAUCCGGAAUGAUUGGGCGUAAAGCGUCCGCAGGUGGCAGUUCAAGUCUGCUGUCAAAGACCGGGGCUUAACUUCGGAAAGGCAGUGGAAACUGAACAGCUAGAGUAUGGUAGGGGCAGAGGGAAUUCCUGGUGUAGCGGUGAAAUGCGUAGAGAUCAGGAAGAACAUCGGUGGCGAAGGCGCUCUGCUGGACCAUAACUGACACUCAGGGACGAAAGCUAGGGGAGCGAAUGGG